GAAAUGCGAUAAGUAGUGUGAAUUGCAGAAUUCAGUGAAUCAUCGAAUCUUUGAACGCACAUUGCGCCCUUUGGUAUUCCUUAGGGCAUGCCUGUUCGAGCGUCAUCUAAACCUUCAAGCCCUGCUUGGUGUUGGGUGCCUGUCCCGCCUCCGCGCGCGGACUCACCUCAAAUCCAUUGGCGGCCCCCGCGUCGGCCACGAGCGCAGCAGAAACGCGAACUCGUGAGCCCGUCCGGGCGGCUCCCAGAAGCUACACCCACCCAGUUUGACCUCGGAUCAGGUAGGGAUACCCGCUGAACGUGAGC
This 305-nucleotide unclassified non-coding RNA is filed under the name plant metagenome. RNAcentral's name for it is "partial contains 5.8S ribosomal RNA, internal transcribed spacer 2, and large subunit ribosomal RNA". The stretch from base 1 to 105 matches the Rfam family "5.8S ribosomal RNA", at positions 50 to 154 of the family's 154-position model. The record is from RNAcentral.